Molecule: ribosomal RNA, 459 nt
Filed under: uncultured bacterium
Lineage: Bacteria
Description: partial 16S ribosomal RNA
Rfam family: Bacterial small subunit ribosomal RNA
Source: RNAcentral
CCUACGGGGUGCAGCAGUAAGGAAUAUUGGGCAAUGGCCGAGAGGCUGAACCAGCCAAGCCGCGUGAGGGAAGACGACCCUACGGGUUGUAAGCCUCUUUUGUCGUGGAGCAAAACGAGUAACGUGUGACCCAUUGAGAUUACCCGACGAAAAAGCAUCGGCUAACUCCUUGCCAACAGCCGCGGUAAUACGGAGGAUGCGAGCGUUAUCCGGAUUUAUUGGGUUUAAAGGGUGCGCAGGCGGGGGUGCAAGUCAGCGGUCAAAUGGCGGGGCUCAACCCCGUACUGCCGUUGAAACUGCAUCCCUUGAGUGCGCGAGAAGUAUGUGGAAUGCGUGGUGUAGCGGUGAAAUGCAUAGAUAUCACGCAGAAAUCCGAUUGCGAAGGCAGCAUACCGGCGCGCAACUGACGCUCAUGCACGAAAGCGUGGGUAUCGAACAGGAUUAGAUACCCUUGUAGUC